RNAcentral lists this ribosomal RNA (470 nucleotides) under uncultured organism. Its description in RNAcentral is "partial 16S ribosomal RNA". It matches the Rfam family "Bacterial small subunit ribosomal RNA", at positions 335 to 797 of the family's 1533-position model. The record is from RNAcentral.
ACUCCUACGGGAGGCAGCAGUGGGGAAUAUUGCACAAUGGGCGCAAGCCUGAUGCAGCCAUGCCGCGUGUAUGAAGAAGGCCUUCGGGUUGUAAAGUACUUUCAGCGGGGAGGAAGGCGAUAAGGUUAAUAACCUUGUUGAUUGACGUUACCCGCAGAAGAAGCACCGGCUAACUCCGUGCCAGCAGCCGCGGUAAUACGGAGGGUGCAAGCGUUAAUCGGAAUUACUGGGCGUAAAGCGCACGCAGGCGGUCUGUCAAGUCGGAUGUGAAAUCCCCGGGCUCAACCUGGGAACUGCAUUCGAAACUGGCAGGCUAGAGUCUUGUAGAGGGGGGUAGAAUUCCAGGUGUAGCGGUGAAAUGCGUAGAGAUCUGGAGGAAUACCGGUGGCGAAGGCGGCCCCCUGGACAAAGACUGACGCUCAGGUGCGAAAGCGUGGGGAGCAAACAGGAUUAGAUACCCGAGUAGUCCC